Molecule: ribosomal RNA, 312 nt
Filed under: Triticum aestivum (bread wheat)
Lineage: Eukaryota; Viridiplantae; Streptophyta; Magnoliopsida; Poales; Poaceae
Description: partial small subunit ribosomal RNA
Source: RNAcentral
ACAUCAGAGAUUAUCUGGGUACAGUCCUUGCUUCAGGAGUUAAGUAUACCCCAAUCACAGCCUCCUGUUCUUUGGUGUGAUAACAUCGGUGCUACAUAUCUUUCUGCAAAUCCGGUAUUCCAUGCCCGAACGAAACACAUUGAAGUUGACUAUCACUUUGUGCGUGAACGUGUCUCUCAGAAGCAACUACAGAUCAAGUUUAUUUCUUCCAAGGAUCAACUUGCUGACAUCUUCACCAAGCCAUUGCCUUUGCCACAGUUUGAGACUUGCAGGCGCAAUCUUACCCUUCUAGAUUCAUUAGAAAGUGGCUAA